AAAAGAGGUUGGUAGCUUAACCUUCGGGGGGUCGCUUACCCCUUUGUGAUUCAUGACUGGGGUGAAGUCGUAACAAGGUAACCGUAGGGGAACCUGCGGUUGGAUCACCUCCUUACCUUAAAGAAGC
RNAcentral lists this ribosomal RNA (127 nucleotides) under Escherichia coli. Its description in RNAcentral is "partial 16S ribosomal RNA". It matches the Rfam family "Bacterial small subunit ribosomal RNA", at positions 1419 to 1533 of the family's 1533-position model. Lineage: Bacteria; Pseudomonadati; Pseudomonadota; Gammaproteobacteria; Enterobacterales; Enterobacteriaceae. The record is from RNAcentral.